This 301-nucleotide ribosomal RNA is filed under the name uncultured bacterium. RNAcentral describes it as "partial 16S ribosomal RNA". It matches the Rfam family "Bacterial small subunit ribosomal RNA", at positions 509 to 807 of the family's 1533-position model. The record is from RNAcentral.
CAGCCGCCGCGGUAAUACGUAGGGGGCGAGCGUUGUCCGAAGUUACUGGGCGUAAAGAGCGCGUAGGCUGGUCUUUAAGUGAGUGGUGAAAGGUUCGGGCUCAACCCGGACACUGCCUUUCAUACUGGGGACCUUGAGUGUGGGAGGGGCGAGUGGAAUGGUCGGUGUAGCGGUGAAAUGCGUAGAUAUCGAUCGGAACACCCAUGGCGAAGGCAGCUCGCUGGACCAUUUCUGACGCUGAUGCACGAAAGCUAGGGGAGCAAAUGGGAUUAGAUACCCCUGUAGUCCCUGUCUCUUAUAC